GAUGAACGCUGGCGGCGUGCCUAAUACAUGCAAGUCGAGCGAACGGACGAGAAGCUUGCUUCUCUGAUGUUAGCGGUGGACGGGCGAGUAACACGUGGAUAACCUACCUAUAAGACUGGGAUAACUUCGUGAAACCGUAGCUAAUACCGGAUAAUAUUUUGAACCGCAUGGUUCAAAAGUGAAAGACGGUCUUGCUGUCACUUAUAGAUGGAUCCGCGCUGCAUUAGCUAGUUGGUAAGGUAACGGCUUACCAAGGCAACGAUGCAUAGCCGACCUGAGAGGGUGAUCGGCCACACUGGAACUGAGACACGGUCCAGACUCCUACGGGAGGCAGCAGUAGGGAAUCUUCCGCAAUGGGCGAAAGCCUGACGGAGCAACGCCGCGUGAGUGAUGAAGGUCUUCGGAUCGUAAAACUCUGUUAUUAGGGAAGAACAUAUGUGUAAGUAACUGUGCACAUCUUGACGGUACCUAAUCAGAAAGCCACGGCUAACUACGUG
Molecule: ribosomal RNA, 497 nt
Filed under: uncultured bacterium
Lineage: Bacteria
Description: partial 16S ribosomal RNA
Rfam family: Bacterial small subunit ribosomal RNA
Source: RNAcentral